Molecule: ribosomal RNA, 890 nt
Filed under: Keissleriella dactylis
Lineage: Eukaryota; Fungi; Ascomycota; Dothideomycetes; Pleosporales; Lentitheciaceae
Description: eukaryotic LSU rRNA
Rfam family: Eukaryotic large subunit ribosomal RNA
Source: RNAcentral
UAGCAUAUCAAUAAGCGGAGGAAAAGAAACCAACAGGGAUUGCCCUAGUAACGGCGAGUGAAGCGGCAACAGCUCAAAUUUGAAAUCUGGCCCCCUUUGGGGGUCCGAGUUGUAAUUUGCAGAGGGUGCUUUGGCGUCGGCAGCGGUCUAAGUUCCUUGGAACAGGACAUCACAGAGGGUGAGAAUCCCGUACGUGGUCGCCUGCCUUCGCCGUGUAAAGCCCCUUCGACGAGUCGAGUUGUUUGGGAAUGCAGCUCUAAAUGGGAGGUAAAUUUCUUCUAAAGCUAAAUACUGGCCAGAGACCGAUAGCGCACAAGUAGAGUGAUCGAAAGAUGAAAAGCACUUUGGAAAGAGAGUCAAACAGCACGUGAAAUUGUUGAAAGGGAAGCGCUUGCAGCCAGACUUGCUCGUAGUUGCUCACCCGGGUUUGCCCGGGGCACUCUUCUGCGAGCAGGCCAGCAUCAGUUUGGGCGACCGGAUAAAGGCCUCUGUCAUGUAUCUUCCUUCGGGAUGACCUUAUAGGGGAGGCGUAAUGCGGCCAGCCCGGACUGAGGUCCGCGCAUCUGCUAGGAUGCUGGCGUAAUGGCUGUAAGCGGCCCGUCUUGAAACACGGACCAAGGAGUCUAACAUCUAUGCGAGUGUUUGGGUGUCAAGCCCGGGCGCGUAAUGAAAGUGAACGGAGGUGGGAACCCUCUCCGGGGGGUGCACCAUCGACCGAUCCUGAUGUCUUCGGAUGGAUUUGAGUAAGAGCAUAGCUGUUGGGACCCGAAAGAUGGUGAACUAUGCUUGAAUAGGGUGAAGCCAGAGGAAACUCUGGUGGAGGCUCGCAGCGGUUCUGACGUGCAAAUCGAUCGUCAAAUUUGGGCAUAGGGGCGAAAGACUAAUCGAAC